Cannabis sativa is the source of this 637-nucleotide long non-coding RNA. RefSeq lists it as uncharacterized. The transcript has 3 exons. The record is from RefSeq and is a predicted model, not a curated record. Lineage: Eukaryota; Viridiplantae; Streptophyta; Magnoliopsida; Rosales; Cannabaceae.
AUAUUUGUCUUUAUGUUAUAUGUUCAGGGUAAUUUUAUUGGAAAUAAGCAAUUUACUUUUGAAGACUCCUUUACUCAAGCUUUGCCAAAUUUACAAUCACAUCUCUCAGUGCCAUUACACUACAACCAAUCCUUAUUUCAUGUUAACCAACAUGAGAGUGAGUUCACUCAUAAAGAUUCAAGUACAACAACCAGCAUGAUGGAAUUAUUACAACAGACACAUUCAUUCUCUACAAGAAACCAUAUCUAAACUUCAUCAACUUGAAAAUGAAAGACAAUAGGUAAUAUUUAUUUACAUAUAUGUAAUGGUAAUAUAUAUUUUAUAUGUUCUUAUUUAUUCUUUUUAACUUUGAAUAUUUAUGCAGCUUUUAAAGGUGCAAGUGGCAGCAUAUUGUAUUUCAAGAUUUGAUUAUAAAUUAAACACCCCUUAAAGUUGUGAAAGACUAGUUUGUUAAUGUAUUUUCUUCGGGUCUCGUUUUGUUUUUAGAGAUAUUAUUAGUUAUUUGUUAUUUUUUUUUUUGAAUAAAGAGAUAUUAUUAGUUAUUUAAAAUUAUUGGAUGAUGAUUAUUUAGUUUGUAUUGUUUGUAUUUAUUUAUUUUUCACAAACAAUGUCUUUACUCAUGAUAUUGCAAAAUUAU